Molecule: non-coding RNA, 72 nt
Organism: Phrynosoma platyrhinos (Desert horned lizard)
Lineage: Eukaryota; Metazoa; Chordata; Lepidosauria; Squamata; Phrynosomatidae
Source: the annotation of a GenBank genome assembly
GCCAGAGUGGUUUAGUGGUUUGAGCAUUGGACUAUGACUCUGGAGAAUAGGGUUCGAAGCCCCACUUGGCCA